CCUACGGGAGGCAGCAGUGAGGAAUAUUGGACAAUGGUCGGGGGACUGAACCAGCCAAGCCGCGUGAGGGAUGAAGGUACAGAGUAUCGUAAACCUCUUUUGUCAGGGAACAAAGGCGGGGACGUGUCCCCGGAUGAGUGUACCUGAAGAAAAAGCAUCGGCUCACUCCGUGCCAGCAGCCGCGGUAAUACGGAGGAUGCGAGCGUUAUCCGGAUGUAUUGGGUUUAAAGGGUGCGCAGGCGGUCUGUUAAGUCAGCGGUAAAAGACCGGGGCUCAACCCCGGCCCGCCGUUGAAACUGGCAGUCUCGAGUUGGAUAGAAGUAUGCGGAAUGCGCGGUGUAGCGGUGAAAUGCAUAGAUAUCGCGCAGAACUCCGAUGGCGAAGGCAGCAUGCCGGCUCCACACUGACGCUGAGGCACGAAAGCGUGGGUAUCGAACAGGAUUAGAUACCCUAGUAGUC
This 459-nucleotide ribosomal RNA is filed under the name uncultured bacterium. RNAcentral's name for it is "partial 16S ribosomal RNA". It matches the Rfam family "Bacterial small subunit ribosomal RNA", at positions 338 to 795 of the family's 1533-position model. The record is from RNAcentral.